UGAAACAACUAAUCGAUUUAAUCGAUUAUAAUCGAUUAUUAAAAUAGUUAACAACUUUUUUAGUCAUCGAUUAGUUGUUUAAUAAUCAUAUUUUACCGCAUAAAGUCUAUUUUUACCACAAUCUGACAUCGGUUACAAGCUGUUAAAUUUGCCGCCAGUGUGUGGCAGUAAUGAGCCACUGAUCUACCAGUGGAGCCGUAGAAGAAGAAAUGAGCCAAUGAGUGCCCUCGGUUUUCAUGACGUAUCACGUUACUGACGCUCAUCUUGCUGUGAGAGAUGGCGGAACAAGAGGAAAUACGGAAGAAAAAUAGAAGCGACAAAAUUUUAGAGAAACCCCGGACAAAAACCUCACGAGUAUGGGAGCACUUCACUAGAUGCAUUGAAAAGGCAAAAUAUGCAAAAACCAUUAGCAUGGCACGGAAGCACGACGUCCCUAAGUGAACAUUUGAGACAAAAACGUGGGGGCUGAGGAAGAGCACCGCGGUCAAGUGAGCCGUCAUUUGGAAGAGCCAGCCCGAAAAAAAACAAGCAACGAUGGACAACUACAUGGGGAAAGAGACACUCACCCCCCAGCAAUUCAUACCACUUACAAACUCUAUUCUAAACAUGCUGGUAAAAGACAUGAGGCCACUAUCCAUGGUGGAAGGAGCAGGCUUCCAGCUAAUGCUAAAAAAUUAUUCUGGACUGAUAUUUUGCACUGUUUAGCUCAUUUUAUACUGCUGACUGUGUUCAUGUGCAAUAAAAUAGAUUGCAGUCAACUGCACAA
Nothobranchius furzeri (turquoise killifish) is the source of this 766-nucleotide long non-coding RNA. RefSeq lists it as uncharacterized. Lineage: Eukaryota; Metazoa; Chordata; Actinopteri; Cyprinodontiformes; Nothobranchiidae. The record is from RefSeq and is a predicted model, not a curated record.